Long non-coding RNA from Quercus lobata, 1168 nucleotides. RefSeq lists it as uncharacterized. Lineage: Eukaryota; Viridiplantae; Streptophyta; Magnoliopsida; Fagales; Fagaceae. The transcript has 9 exons. The record is from RefSeq and is a predicted model, not a curated record.
UACUUCACAGUUACACAUUUAUCACAUCAGAGAAAAUAGAAGAGAGAGAGAGGGAGAAGGCCGGUGGAGAUAAGUCAAGAGAGCUACUGUAGCCACUCCAAAAAAAAAUUUUGGAAAAAUCUGAGGGCCUAUACCACCGUCAGACCAGUUUUCCUCCGAAAACAUUACCGAAUUUCAGUUUCAGGGUCAUCAAAGCUGUUAGCUAAUAUUCUGUACUCAUGGGUCUAUCUGUUGGGAACUUAAUUGCUAGAUGGGAUGAAAUGGGACUUCCAAUCUAUCCAAUUUUGGGGAUGUUUGGAGCAGACAGAUUUGAUGCUAUUCUUCUUCCAGGCUAGAUGAGUGAUCAAUAAUAAUAGGUUUGACUUGCCUGCAUAGACCAUCAUCCUAGAGAUUGAGAAAGAUCUGCAUUUACUGAAGUUGAGAACUGCCAUUGAUCUGUAAAGGAACUACAAGAAGGGGGAUUCAAAAUCCAAAACUUUGCCCAUGUAUUUCCAGAUCGGGAUGGUGAUAGAGUCAGCAUCAGACUUCUUCACAAGUAGACUAACAAAGAAGGAGAGAAAGGGAACAAUUGGAUCUGAGGUGUUAUCUGAUCUCUCCCUUCCUGACUACAGCUCUCUCAGCUUACGGUGGCUCUUUCUUUCUCUCAUGACUUCUUCACUCUUGGACUAUCUUUCACUCUUCUCCCACACGCCUAGCAUUCUCUCACAAAGCCCCAACCAAAAUGACAACUUCGAGGCAUCUUGCGGAUGGGAAGGUGGAGAGGUUCGAUAAGAACAUUAUGAAGAGAGGAGCUGUGCCUGAAACAACCGCAAAGAAGGGAAAAGACUACCCCGUUGGUCCUGUUCUUCACUGUGACAGUGGCAAUUCAAAAAUUGGCUGUAUUGCCAAUGCUCACAAUCUCUUGAGCUUGCCUUCAUUAUUGCUGAGCGCCUAAGAAGGAGGAGGAUUACAUCACAGCAAGCUCUUGCCCUCUAGGCUUCUACAGUGAGGCUUUAAGAGCCCACCAAUGUGCUCUUUUUCUUAUGUUAAUAGCAGUUAUAUUAGCAUUAGCACUAUCGGAUUUUCAGUUAUUUAUGUUCUGUAUUGUGUGUAUACUAACAGGAAGAGUGGUGGUUUGAGACACUAUGAAAACACACUGGAAGAAAUAGAUAACAAUUUAUUUAUUCCA